GACAGAGGUGGCAAGCGUUGCUCGGAAUCACUGGGCUUAAAGGGUGCGUAGGCGGUUGGGUAAGCAUUUUGUGAAAGCCCCGGGCUCAACCCGGGAACUGCAGGAUGGACUGCCUGACUUGAGGCGCGUAGAGGUCACUGGAACUCUGGGUGGAGCGGUGAAAUGCGUAGAUAUCCAGGGGAACGCCAAUGGCGAAGGCAGGUGGCUGGGCGCGUCCUGACGCUGAGGCACGAAAGCGUGGGGAG
RNAcentral lists this ribosomal RNA (245 nucleotides) under uncultured bacterium. Its description in RNAcentral is "partial 16S ribosomal RNA". It matches the Rfam family "Bacterial small subunit ribosomal RNA", at positions 524 to 768 of the family's 1533-position model. The record is from RNAcentral.